CAGCAGCCGCGGGAAAACGUAGGGUGCGAGCGUUAAUCGGAAUUACUGGGCGUAAAGCGUGCGCAGGCGGUUCGUUAAGACAGAUGUGAAAUCCCCGGGCUUAACCUGGGAACUGCAUUUGUGACUGGCGAGCUAGAGUAUGGCAGAGGGGGGUGGAAUUCCGCGUGUAGCAGUGAAAUGCGUAGAUAUGCGGAGGAACACCGAUGGCGAAGGCAGCCCCCUGGGCCAAUACUGACGCUCAUGCACGAAAGCGUGGGGAGCAAACAGGAUUAGAUACCCCUGUAGUCCCUGUCUCUUAUAC
This 301-nucleotide ribosomal RNA is filed under the name uncultured bacterium. Its description in RNAcentral is "partial 16S ribosomal RNA". It matches the Rfam family "Bacterial small subunit ribosomal RNA", at positions 509 to 807 of the family's 1533-position model. The record is from RNAcentral.